AAACUGGGAUUAGAUACCCCACUAUGCCUAGCCAUAAACUUUGAUUAAUCCGCCAGAAUACUACGAGCAACAGCUUAAAACUCAAAGGACUUGGCGGUGCUUUAAACCCACCUAGAGGAGCCUGUUCUAUAAUCGAUAAUCCCCGAUAAACCUCACCAUCAAUUGCUAAUUCAGCCUAUAUACCACCGUCCAGCCCACCCUUUAAAGGAUAAACAGUAGGCACAACUGCAAUCACAAAAACGUCAGGUCAAGGUGUAGCUAAUAAGAUGGGAAGAAAUGGGCUACAUUUUCUAUACUAGAAAAAUACGGAAGAUCUUAUGAAACUAACUUAUGAAGGAGGAUUUAGUAGUAAAAAAGGAUAAGAGUGCCUUUUUUAACAUGGCAAUAAAGCGCGUACACACCGCCCGUCACCCU
Molecule: ribosomal RNA, 414 nt
Filed under: Salamandrina terdigitata (spectacled salamander)
Lineage: Eukaryota; Metazoa; Chordata; Amphibia; Caudata; Salamandridae
Description: partial 12S ribosomal RNA
Rfam family: Bacterial small subunit ribosomal RNA
Source: RNAcentral